This 592-nucleotide long non-coding RNA is filed under the name Homo sapiens (human). RNAcentral's name for it is "non-protein coding lnc-WDR34-2:4". Lineage: Eukaryota; Metazoa; Chordata; Mammalia; Primates; Hominidae. The record is from RNAcentral.
AGGUCUCCGUAACUAUUAAUUUCUCUGUCCUUCUAAUCUGUAUUCCCUGAGAAAUUAAUUGGGCUGGCAAGUCAAAGCCCUGAACCCCAGCUGCAGCUUUCUGAGCUUGUUCUGUCCAUCUGUGAAGUAAGGCAAUGAGAAGUGAGUCGGGGAACGGAACCCACGAUGCGUCAGAGGAGUGUUCCAGUUGCACACACACUCCCCAGCCACCUGGCAGCUCAGUCUAUAAUCUGGAGGCUUCCACAUCUACAGCUCCAUACAAAUGAACCUCUGGUUCUAAAGAAGUUUCUUCCUUGUCUGGUUCUCACUUUCUAAACCUCAGUCUCUGGAGAGAAAAGGAGUCCUGGAGGAUGAACAAGGCGAGCUUGGAGUAAUUUGGAAAAGCUAAUGUUGUAGGACAGAAGCAAAGCCUGCAAGUCACAGCCUAGGUUCCCUGAGUGAUGUUUUCAGCAGUAAACUGCAACUUCAAAGCUAAGAGCCAUCCUAAUAAUUUGCCAUAAAAGGUAGCUUGUUAAAAAUGAGUCAAAAAGGCCGGGUGCAGUGACUCACGCCUGUAAUCCCAGCGCUUUGGGAAGCUGAGGCGGGCGGAUCA